AGCGAACGCUGGCGGCAGGCUUAACACAUGCAAGUCGAGCGGGCGUAGCAAUACGUCAGCGGCAGACGGGUGAGUAACGCGUGGGAACAUACCUUUUGGUUCGGAACAACACAGGGAAACUUGUGCUAAUACCGGAUAAGCCCUUACGGGGAAAGAUUUAUCGCCGAAAGAUUGGCCCGCGUCUGAUUAGCUAGUUGGUGAGGUAACGGCUCACCAAGGCGACGAUCAGUAGCNGGUCUGAGAGGAUGAUCAGCCACAUUGGGACUGAGACACGGCCCAAACUCCUACGGGAGGCAGCAGGUGGGGAAUAUUGGACAAUGGGCGCAAGCCUGAUCCAGCCAUGCCGCGUGAGUGAUGAAGGCCCUAGGGUUGUAAAG
Molecule: ribosomal RNA, 377 nt
Filed under: uncultured bacterium
Lineage: Bacteria
Description: bacterial SSU rRNA
Rfam family: Bacterial small subunit ribosomal RNA
Source: RNAcentral